RNAcentral lists this ribosomal RNA (446 nucleotides) under uncultured bacterium. RNAcentral's name for it is "partial 16S ribosomal RNA". It matches the Rfam family "Bacterial small subunit ribosomal RNA", at positions 338 to 795 of the family's 1533-position model. The record is from RNAcentral.
CCUACGGGGGGCAGCAGUCGAGAAUCAUUCACAAUGGGGGAAACCCUGAUGGUGCGACGCCGCGUGGGGGAAUGAAGGUCUUCGGAUUGUAAACCCCUGUCAUGUGGGAGCAAAUUAAAAAGAUAGUACCACAAGAGGAAGCGACGGCUAACUCUGUGCCAGCAGCCGCGGUAAUACAGAGGUCUCAAGCGUUGUUCGGAAUCACGGGACGUAAAGCGUGCGGAGGCUGUUUCGUAGUUCGUGUGUGAAUGGCGCGGGCUCAACCCGCGGGCGGCACAUGAUACUGCGAGACUAGAGUAAUGGAGGGGGAAGCGGAAUUCUCGGUGUAGCAGUGAAAUGCGUAGAUAUCGAGAGGAACACUCGUGGCGAAGGCGAGUUCCUGGACAGUAACUGACGCUGAGGCACGAAGGCCAGGGGAGCGAAAGGGAUUAGAUACCCGGGUAGUC